GAUGAACGCUGGCGGCGUGCCUAAUACAUGCAAGUCGAGCGCAGCGGGGACGGGUGCGUAACACGUGGAUAACCUCCUUUAAGUCUGCGAUAACUUCGGGAAACCGGUGCUAAACCUGCUACUUAUCGAUGGAUCCUCGGUGCAUUAGCUCGUUGGUCAGGUAACGGCUUACCAAGGCAACGAUGCAUAGCCGACCUGAGAGGGUGAUCGGCCACACUGGAACUGAGACACGGUCCAGACUCCUACGGGAGGCAGCAGUAGGGAAUCUUCCGCAAUGGGCGAAAGCCUGACGGAGCAACGCCGCGUGAGUGAAGAAGGUCUUCGGAUCGUAAAACUCUGUUAUUAGGGAAGCGGUACCUAAUCAGAAAGCCACGGCUAACUACGUGCCAGCAGCCGCGGUAAUUC
This 405-nucleotide ribosomal RNA is filed under the name uncultured bacterium. RNAcentral describes it as "partial 16S ribosomal RNA". It matches the Rfam family "Bacterial small subunit ribosomal RNA", at positions 28 to 526 of the family's 1533-position model. The record is from RNAcentral.